This is a long non-coding RNA of Gossypium arboreum, 665 nucleotides long. RefSeq lists it as uncharacterized. NCBI's taxonomy places the organism in Eukaryota, Viridiplantae, Streptophyta, Magnoliopsida, Malvales, Malvaceae. The record is from RefSeq and is a predicted model, not a curated record. The transcript has 2 exons.
CAUCUGUUACCAAUUACAGCCGGUCCCGCACUCGAUAGUUUUAUGUUUUGAGGGUUAUACAUAAGAACUAGGGCUUUCGUCAGCGUACAAAGGAAAAGCAUAGGCGAUUGGUAUGAGCACCUAUUUAUAAGGUAGCUUAAAAUGCCUAGGAGGCUCCCUGAAGAAAGGGAAAACAAAGGCUUAGGCCGGUGAAGGUGGAAACGGAGAGAGAGUUUCUGGAAAUUUUUGGAAGUGGGGUGCGAGGAAAGAUCAUUUCUCUUCUCUUUUUUAUAUGUACACACACACACACACACAAAGAGAUCAAACCAGAUCUUUCCUAUGCCCCCCAUUCCACUGAUUUCUAGUUCUUCUUCUCCAUUUUCUUUCUUCUUUCUUUCAUUUCAUGCCUGCACCUUCGCUUGGAGUUGCAACCAUAGUUCUUGAUAACGAAAGUUACUAGUAAGAAUUGAAUCUAUUGUAGUGGCUGAAGCCUUAGCCAAGGAUUUUCUGUUCUGGGCGACCUCUGCUAAAAGGGUUAUCUUUUGUUUUAUGUGUUGAUGCUUCUUUUGUCCACUGAUAAAACGAGUGUUGCUGUUGAUUGGGUCACUGGAUGCACUAGGAUAAGAUGGAUGAUGGUUACUUCUAAAUCAAUGGAUUUUUUUUUUUUAAAUUUUGAUCGGGAAAAA